This is a long non-coding RNA of Rosa chinensis, 2873 nucleotides long. RefSeq lists it as uncharacterized. Lineage: Eukaryota; Viridiplantae; Streptophyta; Magnoliopsida; Rosales; Rosaceae. The record is from RefSeq and is a predicted model, not a curated record. The transcript has 8 exons.
GGUUGGUACUUGGCAGCCAAAUCUAGCAGAAAAUAGUGGGGGAGAAACGGUGUCGUUUCCUCCCUGUUGUUCGCUCGUAUUCGCGAAGCCAAAUUACCAAAAUUAAUCCUCCUCCCGAGCAUGCUCAUCCUUUGCUCCGCCCAAAUAAAAAUCCCCAAUUCAGUGAAUUCACAGCAUCACAUCGAACGGCACCGUUUCGCACUCCGAUGUUCGCUUGCCGAGACGAUAAUAGCAGAAAUCGGAAAAUGGGUAAUCUGGGAGGAGCGCUGUGGUGUUAUCAGGAACUCAAAGUUUGUAGCUUUAUUGGGCUAUCAUCACUUCAGGGAUAUGCAGGGUAUAUUGCAAGAGUUAUCAUUGUCAUUCGACUGAACUGGCUCGGAGAAUGGGAAACAUCACUGGUGUGUUAGUUAUGAAUCAUAGAUUGGAGGUUGUAGUAGUAAUAAUGAUAUCGCGUUAUUUCCCAUUUGGACUUUUGAACUUAAUGUGUAGAAAAGUUGACAGUAACGAGUCUUGUUAUUACAAUUUUGGUGGUGAGGGGAAAUCUGUAGCUAAAUUUGGAGUGAGAAAGCCGUGCUGUAGUGUAAGGCACUUGGCUGAUGUUAGAUGACUGAGGUGCUUUUCUAACUUGGGAUAUGUUGUUGCCAAGUUGAUGUUGCUCUGAGGGUGAGAAUGUUGAGUUGAUAUCUCCAGUCCAAUUCCGGUCAUCAUAGGUGUCGGAUAAGUUUCCAGAAUAGCCACAAUUAAGGGUGAUAUCAUCGACCGGAGUGUAGAUAGGAGGUGAACCGCUAGCUACAAGGAGGGUGACGAUGUGGAGAUACAAGGAGAUGGAGGGACGUGUGAGAGUUGGCUUCAUGGUAACUCUGGGGAUCAAGACGGAGAAUUAAGUAGGGUGAGAGGUGUUUUGAUGGAGAGGCAAAGCUUUCUCUGAUGUUUUGUCCUUUUGUAACGCAGGAGCGUAGACUUGCAACAGACCAGAAAAAGAAGAAGACUGGUCUCUAAAUCAAAGAUUCUUGGUUAACACGAGAAAUUAACAAGCACUUAAUUUUCUUUUUUACUCUUACGAAUUCUUUUUUGACUGUAAUAAACACUGAUUUGUUAGUUGAGCAAUGUGUUUUGCAGAACCAACUCCUUCUGUGAUCCAUCUUCAAUUACAUACCAAUUCUUUAUCUGCGCGUUGUCUGCCAAUUGAUAAGUUUUCUCAUUUCAUGUAAAUAACUGUGUCAUGAUAGUAUUUGUAAUGGUUAUAAUCUUUCACAUCCAAGUAAACUCCGAAGUAAAGCUUGCAUUAAACAAAAGAAAGAAAAGAAAACUGGGGUCUAUGAUGGGUUGUCGUAUAAUCUUUUCGUCCAGCAUCAACAAAUCUUUUCGGCUAUCUUCUCAGUAAUUUUAUGGGGGAAGACCUCCAAUCCUUAAGUAUGAAAGAGGUUUAGAAUUUGGAGCAGCUACUUGAUUCUGCUCUGAAGCACAUAAGGUCUAGAAGUUCUCCACUUCAAGUUCCUUUAUUUUUGGUAAUAUAUGUAAAGAAUUUUCCCAUAGUUCGCAAGGUUUGCUCAUGUAUUGUAAUCUGCAAAUCGUUUCAUGCAUUUGCCAGUAUAUAUAAUUUUUUUCCAUAUUUGUGAUUGAAGAUGACAUUGUAAUUCAUAUGCAUCUCUGUUCUUAUCUUUGCAGUCAAUUCAUGACUUGAUGUCUUGAUGAGUACUUUUUUUCUUCUGUUUUUUUCAUUAAAUGAGUGUGUGGGAAUGCUUCGAUGGUUUCUGUGUGUUAUGAGUUUGGCUUUUUGCCCUUGGGUAUCUGAGAAAUUGAUUGUGAAAUUUUUUAAUUUUUAAUUUUUUAGUUUAUAUUUGUUUUGAAUUUUGUCAGUUUUUAAAUGUAUUGGUGGCAUGGAUUUCUCAUUUGGUUUCUUGGCUAUUUGGGAUUUGUAGCGUUGCAGUUGGUGAUGGCUUCCAUUGCAGUGAUUGAGCUUUCAGUUUUUGGUUUGGUUGAAUACAUUGAGCAGAAUGUUUCUUUUCUCAGGAGAUAGAGAAAUCAAGUGACCAUACCAAAAAUUUCUUGAAUAGAUUCAGUGGAUUGCAUUCUGAAGUCCAAAAUCUAACCACAAAGAAAUACUUGAACUGAUUUCUUGGUACUGCAGAUCAUAAAGUGAGGUCAGUUUUCAAAACCGCUAUGAAGUAUAAUGAGGAGAAAAGUGAAGUUCAUGUUAUGGCAAAAACUUUGAUCGCAAAAUUUGAGGAAACGUGGAUGCAGCUUCUGCCUAAAGUUACUGUAUAGGAAAAGAGGCUAGAAGAGGAAGAUGCAGGAGCACAGUUAAAUAUGGAGCUCACUAAAGGUGAUGUUCAUGUUACGGUUAGAUCGCAAAAUUUGAGUAAAUGUGGAUGCAGCUUCUGCCUAAAGUUACUGUAUAGGAAAAGAGGCUAGAAGAGGAAGAUGCAGAAGCACAGUUAAAUAUGGAGCUCACUAAAGGGGCUGCUUAUGCUAAAAUGGCUAGAAACUUACGCAACAAGUUGGUGUCCAUCACAUUCAAGAGCAAAUGAGGUUGAUCCUCACCAUUGUUGCUGAAAGCUACAGCCAAGGAAAAAAAAAAUGGUUUCUGAGCUUUGAACAUCGUAACUAAAGAAAGGAGUCCAUGAGUGGACAUGUUAAUGAGAUACCAGAGUUGUCUUGAGCAGAAAAUGUUUGGAGCUUUGUUUUGCUUAUGAAGUGUGCGCUGAACUAUGCUUUCCUUGUUUAAAUGACUGCUCCCUGGUGCUGGAUGCUUGUCAUUCCAGAAUUGUUGCUCUUUUUGCUUUUGCAUUGUACAUGUGUUGUAAGUAACUGAAGUGUUAACCUGGAGCAUUCUUUUGGUGCUUUUUGUAGUGGAAAACUUUGGAAAGCAA